This 352-nucleotide unclassified non-coding RNA is filed under the name soil metagenome. RNAcentral describes it as "partial contains 5.8S ribosomal RNA, internal transcribed spacer 2, and large subunit ribosomal RNA". The stretch from base 1 to 120 matches the Rfam family "5.8S ribosomal RNA", at positions 35 to 154 of the family's 154-position model. The record is from RNAcentral.
GAUGAAGAACGUAGCGAAAUGCGAAAAGUAAUGUGAAUUGCAGAAUUCAGUGAAUCAUCGAAUCUUUGAACGCACAUUGCGCCCGCUGGUACUCCGGCGGGCACGCCUGUCCGAGCGUCAUUUCAACCCUCAAGCCCUCCUUCGGGAUGGGCCUGGUGUUGGGGCUCGGCCGCCAUCUCCGGCGGCCGUCCCCUAAAUACAGUGGCGGUCACGUCGCGACUCCUUAGCGUAGUAGAAACACCUCGCUCCGGAUAGCAACGCGGUCCACGCCGUAAAACCACCAAUUUUCAAUGGUUGACCUCGGAUCAGGUGGGAAUACCCGCUGAACUUAAGCAUAUCAAUAAGCGGAGGA